UAAAUUGAUGAUCUGAUCAAGACUGUGCUGUGCCUGGCUCCCUGUAUGCCACACAUGUAGCCCAGCCCAUGAAUGUGGUUUGCCUGCUGUGGGUGGCGUGCAAGGAGCCAAGCAUGCAUUACGCAUUAUGAUCAAUUAAUCUCUGGUU
Molecule: non-coding RNA, 148 nt
Organism: Brachypodium distachyon (stiff brome)
Lineage: Eukaryota; Viridiplantae; Streptophyta; Magnoliopsida; Poales; Poaceae
Gene: MIR160C
Product: microRNA MIR160c
Exons: 1
Source: RefSeq, marked provisional